Long non-coding RNA from Populus euphratica (Euphrates poplar), 471 nucleotides. RefSeq lists it as uncharacterized. NCBI's taxonomy places the organism in Eukaryota, Viridiplantae, Streptophyta, Magnoliopsida, Malpighiales, Salicaceae. The record is from RefSeq and is a predicted model, not a curated record. The transcript is spliced from 3 exons.
UUCAUAACAAUUAAACUUGUUUAACAAAAGGAUCAUGCAUGUGUGUAAGCAAGAGAGAGAACAAUCCUCGUAUCUAAUGCAUUUUCUAAUUGAUCUCACCCAAAAACAAACAAGAAUAUCAAAAGAAAUUCAGGAUCUUGAAGCUCCAACCAAGUGAAAACCUCAUAUGAUCUACUACAAAGCUAAAAUGCUUCCAUCACAAUCAGCCUUGGUUGCAAUAAAAGGGAUCAACUACUACACUAAUUCAACAUACUAAAGAUCCUCUCUUUUCAUUAUCCAAAUAAAUAAAAAAAUUCUUGUCCUUUUGAUUUGUUUCUCAGGUUUCUCCCGCCAUGUAACAAGAAACAGGGCCAAACACAAGACUUGUUUGGAAUCUCCUAAGAAAAUCUGAUGGGCCCGACGUAUCUUACUUGCAAGAUGUAGGAUGCUAAUGGUUGCAAGCUUAACUUUCAAUCACAUUCAUGACUCUCU